UCCCUGUUACCAGGGCAGUCUGAGUAGAAAAAUCCAACUACUCAAAAGGGUUGCGCUCGUUGAUGGACUUAACCAAACAUCUCACGACACGAGCUGACGACGGCCAUGCAACACCUGUCACUUGGCUCAAUAAAGCACUCUCUCCUUUCGGAGAAAUUCCAAGGAUGUCAAGCCUGGGUAAGGUUCUUCGCUUAUCAUCGAAUUAAACAACACGCUCCACCGCUUGUGCGGGUCCCCGUCAAUUCCUUUAUGUUUUAGUCUUGCGACCGUACUCCACAGGCGGGAUGCUUAACGCGUUAGCUUCGCUACUAGCCGGGUCGAUACGGCUAACAGCUAGCAUCCAUCGUUUACGGCGUGGACUAC
This 363-nucleotide unclassified non-coding RNA is filed under the name uncultured bacterium. Its description in RNAcentral is "contains 16S-23S intergenic spacer region". The record is from RNAcentral.